Long non-coding RNA from Salmo salar (Atlantic salmon), 490 nucleotides. RefSeq lists it as uncharacterized. The record is from RefSeq and is a predicted model, not a curated record. Lineage: Eukaryota; Metazoa; Chordata; Actinopteri; Salmoniformes; Salmonidae.
CCUGUGUUUAUACUGUUAUGUUUCUUUCCAUGUUUUAUUCAAUGUUUCACCUGCACCUCGACUCUCAGCGUCUCCGUUACACUGCAACCCAGUAAGCACGAGCUGAUGUCUCUCUUUUGGUCCAGAACAGACAUCUUUUUUUUCUUUUACAAACGGGUGGCAGAACAGUAAGGACCGACCCUGGUCUGAUUAUCAAUGUAAAUAUCUGAGUCAUAAUUGUUGAUGGCAGAGGCUAAGAAGGACAGUAAAGGGACUUUCAAGGGACUUUAAGAAUUCAAGAACCUCUUUUCAGGACAAGCAGCCAACGAGUUCUCACGGCGUGACGUGGAUGCAUCGGAGAAAAAGACGUGCAAUGCAAUAAACGCCCGUUUCAAAGAACAAACCUGUGUCUGUUGUCGUGAAGAGAGCUACAGUAAAUAUGUUGUAGAUGUUAUGUAAAUAUUCUGACUUACACACUUAACCUGGCACCACUUUUACACUUAAUAAACUG